GGAGCACGCCGCGUGAGUGAUGAAGGUUUUCGGAUCGUAAAACUCUGUUGUUAGGGAAGAACAAGUACCGUUCGAAUAGGGCGGUACCUUGACGGUACCUAACCAGAAAGCCACGGCUAACUACGUGCCAGCAGCCGCGGUAAUACGUAGGUGGCAAGCGUUGUCCGGAAUUAUUGGGCGUAAAGCGCGCGCAGGCGGUUUCUUAAGUCUGAUGUGAAAGCCCCCGGCUCAACCGGGGAGGGUCAUUGGAAACUGGGGAACUUGAGUGCAGAAGAGGAGAGUGGAAUUCCACGUGUAGCGGUGAAAUGCGUAGAGAUGUGGAGGAACACCAGUGGCGAAGGCGACUCUCUGGUCUGUAACUGACGCUGAGGCGCGAAAGCGUGGGGAGCGAACAGGAUUAGAUACCCUGGUAGUCCACGCCGUAAACGAUGAGUGCUAAGUGUUAGAGGGUUUCCGCCCUUUAGUGCUGCAGCAAACGCAUUAAGCACUCCGCCUGGGGAGUACGGUCGCAAGACUGAAACUCAAAGGAAUUGACGGGGGCCCGCACAAGCGGUGGAGCAUGUGGUUUAAUUCGAAGCAACGCGAAGAACCUUACCAGGUCUUGACAUCCUCUGACAACCCUAGAGAUAGGGCUUCCCCUUCGGGGGCAGA
This 651-nucleotide ribosomal RNA is filed under the name Bacillus licheniformis. RNAcentral describes it as "bacterial SSU rRNA". It matches the Rfam family "Bacterial small subunit ribosomal RNA", at positions 388 to 1030 of the family's 1533-position model. The record is from RNAcentral. Lineage: Bacteria; Bacillati; Bacillota; Bacilli; Caryophanales; Bacillaceae.